This is a long non-coding RNA of Oncorhynchus keta (chum salmon), 1676 nucleotides long. RefSeq lists it as uncharacterized. The record is from RefSeq and is a predicted model, not a curated record. The transcript has 3 exons. Lineage: Eukaryota; Metazoa; Chordata; Actinopteri; Salmoniformes; Salmonidae.
GUUUGCGUGCUUGGCGUGCCUGGACAGUGUGAACAACAGUGUGGCGAUAGCUGUGUUCAGUAGUCUCUACGCUGCCACGGUAACCUGGUACCCUGGAUUCUGCUUCCUGUUGUCUGCUGGACUCUGUGUCAUCCCCUUGGUCCUGCUAGUGAUUGUGGGGCUGCUGGGGGUGGAUGAAAGUAAGGAGGCAGAGGUCCUCAUCCCAGAAGAGGAAGGCCUGGCCGGAGACGAUGACCCUCUCCUCACCUGAGGCUGGGUGACAGGUAGCGGUUGGGCCAGUAACCAAAAGGUCCUUGGUUCAAAUCAUCGAGCCGGCAAGGUGGAAAAAUCGAAUGUCGAAUGUGUCCUUGAGGUUGCUCUGAAAAAGAGAGUCCGCUAAAGUGAACUUUUGUUUGUUGGGCGUCGGAAUCACAGGUGUUGCUUUUGGUUUGAUUUCCCGUAGCCUCUUUUUCUCAGCGUCAAUUUCUCUGUGAAGUAAAGGCCGCGUUUUAAUUAAAUACAAUUCUUCUGAUCUUCUGAUCUCUCACGGUGGAAUACUUAGUCGCUGUUAUGACGUUGUUAUGACGAUGAUUCUAUUAUUCACGUUGUUAUGACGAUGAUUCUAUUAUUCACGUUGUUAUGACGAUGAUUCUAUUAUUCACGUUGUUAUGACGAUGAUUCUAUUAUUCACGUUGUUAUGACGAUGAUUCUAUUAUUCACGUUGUUAUGACGAUGAUUCUAUUAUUCACGUUGUUAUGACGAUGAUUCAAUUAUUCACGUUGUUAUGACGAUGAUUCAAUUAUUCACGUUGUUAUGACGAUGAUUCAAUUAUUCACGUUGUUAUGACGAUGAUUCAAUUAUUCACGUUGUUAUGACGAUGAUUCAAUUAUUCACGUUGUUAUGACGACGAUUCUAUUAUUCACGUUGUUGCAACAAAAAAAAUGGGAAAUAAGCAAAUUGAUUUUUCCAAAAUGUUUUAAUAAGUAGCUAGAAGUCUCUGAAGUGAAAUGAAUAUUGAUAUCAAACAGAGCGACCGUAAUAGCAGACCGCGGUAAUCUACCUAAUUCACAGGUUCUGACUGUAUAUCACACCAUGUUCUACUUACCUGUUUUUAUUACUGAUCUGUUUGUGUUGUCGUUACAUGACCCAAAGGCCCAAACUGUCAAACUCGUUUCGCUGUGCCUUACACCAACAUGAUAGACUUGUAUAGACGCUCAAGGAAAUGCACUUUCUGUCUGAACUAUGUCACGACUUGUUAGUUUCCCCAGUGAUCAAAACUGGUUGAAAAGAUGUCAUUUCAAUGACAACUGGUUGGAAUUACGUUGUUUGUUUUUUUAAACGAAGUGUUGCUCUUUGGGCUGACCCGUUUGGGCUGACCCGUUUGGGCUGACCCGUUUGGGCUGACCCCUAGACCAGUUUGGGCUCUUGCUGUCAUUGUCAUGAUGUCAGAAACAGAUCUAGGAUCAGGAUAAAAAACUUUGUUGAUUGAUAUUUCAACUACACUGUUACAGUAGGUUACCUCCACUUAAUGAUUGAUUAACAACAACGGUCAAUAACUCAGAACUGAUCAUGUAAAAACCAGCAUAGGCAAAUGGAUGUGAAGGACAGUAUUGGAAAAUACUACUUUAGGGAUGUUUUUUUUUUAAGUUGUAUUUUGAAACAAUUUGCAUGUGUGCUGUUAUUUUUACAAUAAUUUA